UACGGGGGGGGUAAGCGUUGUUCGGAAUUACUGGGCGUAAAGGGCUCGUAGGCGGCCAACUAAGUCAGACGUGAAAUCCCUCAGCUUAACUGGGGAACUGCGUGUGAUACUGGUCGGCUUGAGUGCAGGAGAGGAACGCGGAAUUCCAGGUGUAGCGGUGAAAUGCGUAGAUAUCUGGAGGAACACCGGUGGCGAAGGCGGCGUUCUGGACUGUAACUGACACUGAGAGACGAAAGCCAGGGGAGCAAACGGG
This 253-nucleotide ribosomal RNA is filed under the name uncultured bacterium. Its description in RNAcentral is "partial 16S ribosomal RNA". It matches the Rfam family "Bacterial small subunit ribosomal RNA", at positions 524 to 776 of the family's 1533-position model. The record is from RNAcentral.